Molecule: long non-coding RNA, 816 nt
Organism: Saimiri boliviensis boliviensis (Bolivian squirrel monkey)
Lineage: Eukaryota; Metazoa; Chordata; Mammalia; Primates; Cebidae
Source: RefSeq, a predicted model, not a curated record
AAACUAUCAUUUAGUGUCUUGCUGAGACAAGAAAAUGUUUUCACAACCCAAGACAAGUUAAAUAUCCACUUGUGGGAACAGUACCAAAGGCCUGGACUAGGACAGUAGUAAUGGAGACAGACUGAAGGUCAGCAUAACAGUCAACAAUAGCACGUAGUGCCUGAUUGGAAAUACAGAGUAAAUCACAGUGAGGAAAAGAUGUGCAAUCAUUCCCUUGCAUAUGGUGCAUAUGAAGAUGGAAUCAUUACAGGAAAGGUGGAGGAGAUGCAGUCAUUAUGCUCUGUAUACACCCAUUUUUGUGGUUAGCAGCUAAAGAUGAAUUCUUUCUUUUCUGGAAGACCUAUUACCAGUUAGGUUGCAAAAGAUGUGAUCAUCAUCCUUAACAAUAAUUUAGAGUCCCAUAAUAAUUUUAAGAGUGUUGCUCAUGAAAAUUUGAAUACAUUGUAUUGGGAAUGUAAUGGAAAUGAGAUGACUUAUGAGAAAAUCUGACAUAAAGUCUUUAAGCAUGAGAGGCCAUGUGAGUAGGGAAGCCCUGAAGGGGAAAAAGAAACACAGCCAGACCCUAGCUGUUCCAGUCACCCCAGCUGAGGUGCCAGACUUGUGAAUGAGGCCAUCUUGCAUCAUCUAGGCCUCGUAGAGCUGCCAACUGACUGCAAACACACGAGUCAAUCCAGCUAAUGCCACAUGGAGCAGAGACAAGCCACCCAGCUGAGCCCAGUCCAGAUGAUAGAAUCUUACACAAAUAAGGUGGUUGUUCUUUUAAGCCACAAAUUUUAGGGUGAUUUGUUACACAGUAAUAAGUAACUGAAAUAACUA